This 73-nucleotide transfer RNA is filed under the name Agrilus planipennis (emerald ash borer). It matches the Rfam family "tRNA". Rfam says of the family: Transfer RNA (tRNA) molecules are approximately 80 nucleotides in length. Their secondary structure includes four short double-helical elements and three loops (D, anti-codon, and T loops). The record is from Rfam by way of RNAcentral. Lineage: Eukaryota; Metazoa; Arthropoda; Insecta; Coleoptera; Buprestidae.
UCUCUCGUAGCUUAGUGGUCAGAGCACUGGUGCGUAAAGCCAAAGGUCCCGAGUUCCGUUCCCGGCGGGGGUG